Molecule: ribosomal RNA, 301 nt
Filed under: uncultured bacterium
Lineage: Bacteria
Description: partial 16S ribosomal RNA
Rfam family: Bacterial small subunit ribosomal RNA
Source: RNAcentral
CAGCCGCCGCGGUAAUACGGAGGGAGCUAGCGUUGUUCGGAAUUACUGGGCGUAAAGCGCACGUAGGCGGUUAUUCAAGUCAGAGGUGAAAGCCCGGGGCUCAACCCCGGAAUUGCCUUUGAAACUAGAUGACUGGAAUCUUGGAGAGGUCAGUGGAAUUCCGAGUGUAGAGGUGAAAUUCGUAGAUAUUCGGAAGAACACCAGUGGCGAAGGCGACUGACUGGACAAGUAUUGACGCUGAGGUGCGAAAGCGUGGGGAGCAAACAGGAUUAGAUACCCCGGUAGUCCCUGUCUCUUAUAC